AGGGCACCACCAGGAGUGGAGCCUGCGGCUUAAUUUGACUCAACACGGGAAAACUCACCCGGCCCGGACACUGGAAGGAUUGACAGAUUGAGAGCUCUUUCUUGAUUCAGUGGGUGGUGGUGCAUGGCCGUUCUUAGUUGGUGGAGUGAUUUGUCUGGUUAAUUCCGAUAACGAACGAGACUCUAGCCUACUAAAUAGAUCGUCGGCUUACAAACGCCGGCGAGACUUCUUAGAGGGACAGGCGGUGAUUCAACCGCACGAAACAGAGCAAUAACAGGUCUGUGAUGCCCUUAGAUGUCCGGGGCCGCACGCGCGCUACACUGAAGUGAUCAGCGUGCUUUUUCAACCUACUCUGUCAAGAGUGGGGAACCCAAUGAACCUUCUUCGUGGUUGGGAUAGGGGAUUGUAAUUAUCCCCCUUGAACGAGGAAUUCCCAGUAAGCGCGAGUCAUAAGCUCGCGUUGAUUACGUCCCUGCCCUUUGAACACACCGCCCGUCGCUACUACCGAUUGAAUGUUUU
This 519-nucleotide ribosomal RNA is filed under the name uncultured eukaryote. RNAcentral's name for it is "SSU rRNA". It matches the Rfam family "Eukaryotic small subunit ribosomal RNA", at positions 1161 to 1699 of the family's 1831-position model. The record is from RNAcentral.